GACGCUGGAACCUGAUGGCCGGGCGGCUGCCUGCAAAGCAGUUGGAACUGGGUUCGACUCCCACUGGCGUCU
This 72-nucleotide transfer RNA is filed under the name Planctomycetaceae bacterium. Its description in RNAcentral is "tRNA-Cys". It matches the Rfam family "tRNA". From Rfam's summary of the family: Transfer RNA (tRNA) molecules are approximately 80 nucleotides in length. Their secondary structure includes four short double-helical elements and three loops (D, anti-codon, and T loops). The record is from RNAcentral. Lineage: Bacteria; Pseudomonadati; Planctomycetota; Planctomycetia; Planctomycetales; Planctomycetaceae.